GACGAACGCUGGCGGCGUGCUUAACACAUGCAAGUCGAACGGAAAGGCCCUGCUUGCAGGGUGCUCGAGUGGCGAACGGGUGAGUAACACGUGGGUGAUCUGCCCCUUACUUUGGGAUAAGCCUGGGAAACUGGGUCUAAUACUGGAUAGAACCAUGCUGUAGGUGGUGUGGUGGAAAGAUUAGUUUCGGUAAGGGAUGAGCUCGCGGCCUAUCAGCUUGUUGGUGGGGUAAUGGCCUACCAAGGCGUCGACGGGUAGCCGGCCUGAGAGGGUGGACGGCCACAUUGGGACUGAGAUACGGCCCAGACUCCUACGGGAGGCAGCAGCGGGGAAUAUUGCACAAUGGGCGCAAGCCUGAUGCAGCGACGCCGCGUGGGGGAUGACGGCCUUCGGGUUGUAAACUCCUUUCAGCCAUGACGAAGCCCUUGUGGUGACGGUAGUGGUAGAAGAAGCACCGGCUAACUACGUGCCAGCAGCCGCGGUAAUACGUAGGGUGCGAGCGUUGUCCGGAAUUACUGGGCGUAAAGAGCUCGUAGGUGGUCUGUCGCGUCAUUUGUGAAAGCCCGGGGCUUAACUCCGGGUUGGCAGGUGAUACGGGCAUGACUGGAGUACUGUAGGGGAGACUGGAAUUCCUGGUGUAGCGGUGAAAUGCGCAGAUAUCAGGAGGAACACCGGUGGCGAAGGCGGGUCUCUGGGCAGUAACUGACGCUGAGGAGCGAAAGCAUGGGUAGCGAACAGG
Molecule: ribosomal RNA, 739 nt
Filed under: uncultured Corynebacterium sp.
Lineage: Bacteria; Bacillati; Actinomycetota; Actinomycetes; Mycobacteriales; Corynebacteriaceae
Description: bacterial SSU rRNA
Rfam family: Bacterial small subunit ribosomal RNA
Source: RNAcentral